Molecule: ribosomal RNA, 855 nt
Filed under: uncultured bacterium
Lineage: Bacteria
Description: bacterial SSU rRNA
Rfam family: Bacterial small subunit ribosomal RNA
Source: RNAcentral
GCAGUCGAGGGGUAUAGGUUUUCGGACCUAGAGACCGGCGCACGGGUGCGUAACGCGUAUGCAAUCUACCUUUUACAGAGGGAUAGCCCAGAGAAAUUUGGAUUAAUACCUCAUAGUAUUAUUGAGUGGCAUCAUUUAAUAAUUAAAGUCACAACGGUAAAAGAUGAGCAUGCGUCCCAUUAGCUUGUUGGUAAGGUAACGGCUUACCAAGGCAACGAUGGGUAGGGGUCCUGAGAAGGAGAUCCCCCACACUGGUACUGAGACACGGACCAGACUCCUACGGGAGGCAGCAGUGAGGAAUAUUGGUCAAUGGGCGCAAGCCUGAACCAGCCAUGCCGCGUGCAGGAUGAAGCAUCUAUGGUGUGUAAACUGCUUUUGUACGAGAAGAAACACUCCUUCGUGAAGGAGCUUGACGGUAUCGUAAGAAUAAGGACCGGCUAACUCCGUGCCAGCAGCCGCGGUAAUACGGAGGGUCCAAGCGUUAUCCGGAAUCAUUGGGUUUAAAGGGUCUGUAGGCGGUUUUGUAAGUCAGUGGUGAAAGCCCAUCGCUCAACGGUGGAACGGCCAUUGAUACUGCAAGACUUGAAUUAUUGGGAAGUAACUAGAAUAUGUAGUGUAGCGGUGAAAUGCUUAGAGAUUACAUGGAAUACCAAUUGCGAAGGCAGGUUACUACCAAUAUAUUGACGCUGAUGGACGAAAGCGUGGGGAGCGAACAGGAUUAGAUACCCUGGUAGUCCACGCCGUANACGAUGGAUACUAGCUGUUCGGAGCAAUCUGAGUGGCUAAGCGAAAGUGAUAAGUAUCCCACCUGGGGAGUACGUUCGCAAGAAUGAAACUCAAAGGAAUUGACGGGGG